RNAcentral lists this long non-coding RNA (547 nucleotides) under Scleropages formosus (Asian bonytongue). RNAcentral's name for it is "lncRNA (ENSSFOG00015032187.1)". The record is from RNAcentral. Lineage: Eukaryota; Metazoa; Chordata; Actinopteri; Osteoglossiformes; Osteoglossidae.
CAGAGACUUUGGACACCCGGCGGAGCCGUCCGGAGGCUCCGAGGUAAGAAUAAAAAACGUGUUCGAGAUCGGGAGACGGACAGACACGAGGAGACCGCUUUGGCCCCCCAAAACAACCUGCGCGGAAUGGGGGGGUUCAACGCGGGCUGAAAAACUGCGCAUUCAAUUUCAAAUAUUGUGUUAGAAGUUCAAAUCAGAAUGAGAAAAAAAAAAAAAAAAAGUUUCACUGUUGAAAAAAGAAAGGAAAAAAAAGAUCGCAGAAGAAUGCACCCGCAUCUUGAGGUGUCCAGGUGGCUGGAGGGGCGAUGCAUGGGAGGAGACCUUGCAACUUGAGGAAUGAAGUCCAUCAAGGACCUUCCGUGGAGAAAGGAGAUGGAUGGCAAGGACAUGUGAAGCUCUCUGUUCCCAUCAAGAGGGUAGUUCACACACCAGUGCGACAGUAUAAUGGACUCAAAGGAUCGGACAGAUCUGGUUUGAUUUCAAAGCAGAGGAAGGAAUAUGAACGAGGCAAUGGUUCAUAAACCUGAGGACGUAAAAUAAACACUCU